GAAGGAUGGCAAACCUCCGGUUAAACCGAAAGGUAGUUGCUACAAAGACCUAAACUGGAGAAAAUCUGCAGAUGCUGGAAAUCCAAAGUAACACACACAAAAUGCUGGAGGAACACAGCAGGUGUAGUUAUUCCCAAAUGUAAAAGUCAA
This is a long non-coding RNA of Mobula hypostoma (lesser devil ray), 150 nucleotides long. RefSeq lists it as uncharacterized. Lineage: Eukaryota; Metazoa; Chordata; Chondrichthyes; Myliobatiformes; Myliobatidae. The transcript has 3 exons. The record is from RefSeq and is a predicted model, not a curated record.